GACGAACGCUGGCGGCGUGCUUAACACAUGCAAGUCGAACGGAAAGGCCCUGCUUUUGUUGGGUGCUCGAGUGGCGAACGGGUGAGUAACACGUGAGUAACCUGCCCUUGACUUUGGGAUAACUUCAGGAAACUGGGGCUAAUACCGGAUAGGAGCUCCUGCUGCAUGGUGGGGGUUGGAAAGUUUCGGCGGUUGGGGAUGGACUCGCGGCUUAUCAGCUUGUUGGUGGGGUAGUGGCUUACCAAGGCUUUGACGGGUAGCCGGCCUGAGAGGGUGACCGGCCACAUUGGGACUGAGAUACGGCCCAGACUCCUACGGGAGGCAGCAGUGGGGAAUAUUGAACAAUGGGCGGAAGCCUGAUGCAGCAACGCCGCGGGCGGGAUGACGGCCUUGGGGUUGUAAACCGCUUUCGCCUGUGACGAAGCGUGAGUGACGGUAAUGGGUAAAGAAGCACCGGCUAACUACGUG
This 468-nucleotide ribosomal RNA is filed under the name uncultured bacterium. RNAcentral describes it as "partial 16S ribosomal RNA". It matches the Rfam family "Bacterial small subunit ribosomal RNA", at positions 28 to 507 of the family's 1533-position model. The record is from RNAcentral.